UAUCAUGCUUUUAAUUUACUAAAUAAAAAGUGAAUACUUUUAAAUGAAAUUAUUCAACGGAGACAAAAACUUUAAACCAGUAGAGUUAUCUCCCCAAUCACAGGGUAAACAAUGCUACCAGUCUGCUUACCAUGGCACUGCAAUUACUUCAGUCUGUAAAUUCAGGGAAUAAUAUUUUGCUUUAAAAUUAGUGUUUUAACCUGUUUUUACUUAUUAAUUAGUCUAUUGGUGUUGCACACAUUUAUGUUAAGGUGAAUGAAAAUUAUUGUUAACAAAAUAAUUGUUUAUGGAUUAUUUACUUGCUUUUAUAAAUGAUUAUAUGAGCCACGCCAUGAGAAAACCAGCCACUAUGUUGGUUUUCUCAUGGCACGGCUCAUAUUGUUUAUUUUACAAGACUGGGGUAAUUAAAUUUAUUGAUUUAAUCAUGUUCAUCCAGAUAAUUCUUUUAAUCUAUUGAAGAGUAUAAUGUAAUAAGAAUAAAGACUUAUGUAACCCUCUAUUUGCUAUACAUUUGGUAGAACUAGUAACAUUUUUUGGCCCCAUCAUCACAAUGUAUACAGUUAAAAUUUUAGUUCAUUGACAUACCCAAUAAUAAACCAAAGGUUUUUAUGAACAUUUUAAGUUUUAAACUAAAUCUAUUUUCAGGUAUAGCACCAUAUGUCAUGUAUGUAUAUAGGUAUGGCACAAAUGAAUGAAUUGGGACCUUAUCAACAUAUUGUGUUCAAAGAAAACCUAACGAAUCCAGCAGUUCAAAAACAUGUUUUGCAGUGAGACGAAUGGUGACAAUGGCUUUGUGGCAGUUAGUGAAAAACUGUGGCAUUUUACACUGAUGAUGGCUACAAUUUACAGAAAAUUUCUCAACCAAUAGUGACAUUCAGUUGAAAGUAAUAGCAUAUCUUACACCAACUAUUCAUCAGAAUGUUGUUGAAAAAAGCCAUGGCAAAAAGUGGAAAAUACUGAUCAAUAUACUUCAGUGACUUUGGAACUGAGUAGAAAAUGGUGACAUUUUAGCACCAUAUUGUGUGUUUACUUUUUCUUGCAUCCGCACAGUCCGGCCAGGAUCCAUGCUGUUCACUAAUGGUUUCUAUGGUUGCAAUAGCAUUUGAAAGCGAGCAGCAUGGAUCCUGACCAAAUCAAGCUGAUGCGCAGGCUGGUCUGUAGCCAUGCUGAUCGCAAAGCCUCUAUGUUGGUUUUCUCCUGGCACGGCUCAUAUAUAAAUUCAUGUAUGUAAAUAAUGUUUUGCUUAUGGUAUUUUGUCAGCACAGGUAAUGAAAUACUAAAAAAACAUAAAAUAUUUUGUUAGUGUUUUGUUCAAAUUUGUGACCUUGCUCUUUUGCAUAUCAUAUGUUUUGUUGGUAUUUUGUUAGCAGUGUUUUGUUAGUGUUUUCUUUAGCACAUAUAAUGUAACACUAAUAAAACAUUAAGUAUUCUGUUAGUGUUUUGUUUAAGCCUAAUUUGCAUAUCAUGUUUUGUUGGUAUUUCGUUAGCAGUGUUUUGUUAGUGUUUUGUUAGUGUUUUGUUACCUCAUUUGCAUGUCAUUUGCUAUACUAAUAAAACAUCAUCAAAACACA
This is a long non-coding RNA of Mercenaria mercenaria, 1571 nucleotides long. RefSeq lists it as uncharacterized. Lineage: Eukaryota; Metazoa; Mollusca; Bivalvia; Venerida; Veneridae. The record is from RefSeq and is a predicted model, not a curated record. The transcript is spliced from 2 exons.